UGAACAGAAGCAAGCUUUCCCCAGGCUGUCGAGCAUCUCGGUCACUCAAACGCCGUUAGGAAGUACACCAGCUGGCCGUAAUUGAUGGUUAGAGUUAAAGACCAUGAAUGAAGUUUUUGAGCAUUAUGGAGAUCCUGUACAUAUUAAGCUGACGCAUAAUUUGAUGAGGUUUAUUGCUGAAGGAAUUGGAGAGGACGAUGCUGCUUGUAGAUAAUCAGUUGAGAUCAUCUGCUGUAGCACUUGAAUUCCUAGAUCAGAACGGUACCAUGUUUCCUCAAGAGACAUUGUUUCAAUGCCUGAGGCAUUGUAUUCUAGGGAGACCUACUCUAUCUCAUCAGUGGAUGGAUCAUCAGAGCUUAAGCUAUGGCUUGAUGGUGUUCAGAAGAAGUGGGGUAGGCUAACUUAUUCGUCACGAAUGGGGCAACUCAGAUGGAUGUUGCAAUAGCUGCCAAUUCGUGAUAGUUGAGAUUCAAGAAAGACACAGAUUGAGAUUUCCCCAGAAAAGCAGAAGCUUGCUGCUUCAUUGUUUGGUGGUUCAACUAAACCUGAGAAAAGAUCAUCCACUAGUCACAAGGUUCCAAAAGCUAGUGCUAAUGUUGUAGUAGGAUCUCAGGGAUCAAGGGCUGCAGUUGUACCAAGUGAAGUAGAUGUGGAGAAAACAAUUCAUCUACCUCCUCCUGAUUUGCUUGACUUGGGUGAAUCAGCUGUUACUGCGGCUUCUCCAUCUGUGGACCCCUUCAAGCAAUCAGAAGGACUUCUUGAGCCAAGUGUUAGUUGUACAACAAAUCAUAAAGUAAAUGUUGCUACAAAUGCGCCUGAUAUUAUGGCACUCUAUCCAGAGACUACUGCAAGUGGGCAAAGUGGCAGUGGUGGCUAUUCUAUCCUUGUGAGUGGGGAUAAUGUAAAUCUUUUAUUGAGUUGUUGAAUGCAUCUGUUAGAGCUACUGAGUUGUCAAAUGCAGCUGUUAUAGGUAAUAGUGGAGAAAUGUAACACCCUCAUUAGAAGAAUAUGCCUCUACAGCUACCGAAGUAAACCAGAAGAAAUUAAAGAAAAUAUCAGAAAAGACAGAACUAGAUACCUGACAUUACAUCCUACAGAAAGUCUGGUACAACCUCAAGGAUCAUGGCUUAUCAGCUGGCCAGAUGAGUCUGUCUCAAAAGAUACACAUACAUCUAUUCAAAUGAUCACCUCUUACAUCCACUUAUACUACUAUGUACAUACAUAUCUACAACAAAAAUAGUAGUGGAAGCGUCACAACAGUGAAGAGAACCUUGUGGAGGGAGGCUUGAGAGACCAGAGGAGAGAAACAAGACACCUGGCCAUGGGAGGAUAAUCAUUUUGAAAUGGACUGGUUUGUGCAGCCAUACGGAAGUAAUUGGGUUAUGCAUAUUAGCUUUAGGAGGGAACACAUAAAGAUCGUCUUGUUCUGGUUCUGAUGGGUGUAGUAGACUUUCUUUUUUCGCAUAUGAUGUUAUAAUACACUUUCUGCCGGAUAUAAUGUGAUCUAUCUAGUUGGUGUCUUUUUUGAUAUUUUCUUUAAUUUAUUCUGGUUUACUUCAGCAGCUGUAGAGGCAUAUUCUCCGAAUAUGGUAUUACAAGAAACAAUUGUGAUGCCUUUGUCUCAAUCUAUGAAGGGUCGAAAUGCUAAAGAUUCUUUGGAGAAGGAUGCAUUAGUUGGGCAGAUGCUUGAGGACAGUUGGCUAUCUGAUAUAUGCAAAAUUGAAUGAUAUAAAUUUUGAGCCAAUGGAGUGACUCGACAUCCAAGAAUGAUGGCAGAACCAGGUAAAGACUAUACUCAUUGCAGAAUAGUUUUUGUAGCAAUUGAAUGCACAAGGUUUUCCUUGCUACAUCCAAGUUUUGGUCCACUCUGGACUUUAAGGAAGGUUAAUGUUAUGCACGGUCAUGUCCUUGCCCUGUACUCUUCAUAGGAAGUUCCGCGUCAUCUUUGUUGUUAUACCAAAGUUCUAUUUUUUUUCCUUUAAAUAUUUCUGUGCUUUUUUCUAUAUCCAUAUAAUGUUUUUUCAACAAUGAGAAGCUUGAUAC
Molecule: long non-coding RNA, 2043 nt
Organism: Gastrolobium bilobum
Lineage: Eukaryota; Viridiplantae; Streptophyta; Magnoliopsida; Fabales; Fabaceae
Exons: 3
Source: RefSeq, a predicted model, not a curated record